RNAcentral lists this ribosomal RNA (868 nucleotides) under uncultured archaeon. Its description in RNAcentral is "bacterial SSU rRNA". It matches the Rfam family "Archaeal small subunit ribosomal RNA", at positions 5 to 879 of the family's 1478-position model. The record is from RNAcentral.
CGGUUGAUCCUGCCGGAGGUCACUGCUAUUGGGAUUCGACUAAGCCAUGCGAGUCGAGAGGGUUCGGCCCUCGGCUGACGGCUCAGUAACACGUGGAUAAUCUGCCCUUAGGUGGAGGAUACCCUCGGGAAACUGAGAAUAAUACUCCAUAGGCCUAGGAUGCUGGAAUGCACCUAGGCUGAAAGUUCCGGCGCCUAAGGAUGAGUCUGCGGACUAUCAGGUUGUAGUCAGGGUAAAGACCUGACUAGCCUACGACGGAUACGGGUUGUGAGAGCAAUAACCCGGAGAUGAUAUCUGAGACACGAUAUCAGGCCCUACGGGGCGCAGCAGGCGCGAAAACUUCACACUGUGCGAAAGCACGAUGAGGGAAUCCCAAGUGCUUGCACGUAAGUGUAAGCUGUUUUUCUGUCUAAAACACAGAGAGAGUAAGAGCUGGGUAAGACGGGUGCCAGCCGCCGCGGUAAUACCUGCAGCUCAAGUGGUGGCCGCUAUUAUUGGGCCUAAAACGUUCGUAGCCGGUUUAGUAAAUGCCUGGGUAAAUCGUGUAGCUUAACUAUACGAAUUCCGGGUAGACUGCUGAACUUGAGACCGGGAGAGGCUAGAGGUACUCCUGGGGUAGAGGUGAAAUUCUGUAAUCCUAGGGGGACCACCAGUGGCGAANGCGUCUAGCUAGAACGGAUCUGACGGUGAGGGACGAAGCCCUGGGGCGCGAACCGGAUUAGAUACCCGGGUAGUCCAGGGUGUAAACGCUGCUUGCUUGAUGUUAGUUGGGCUCCGAGCCCAAUUAGUGUCNGAGAGAAGUUGUUAAGCAAGCUGCCUGGGAAGUACNNUCGCAAGGCUGANCUUAAAGGAANUNGNNNGGGGGANC